This 1589-nucleotide long non-coding RNA is filed under the name Pelobates cultripes (western spadefoot toad). The record is from RNAcentral. Lineage: Eukaryota; Metazoa; Chordata; Amphibia; Anura; Pelobatidae.
CAUUACAAGCCGUCACAGAGCGCACCCAGGCCACUGAAAAAUAUGUGCUCGCUCUGCAACUAGGCCUCAAGGCAAUAGGCGACAGGGUACAACAGCUACAAACGGCCCAAAACUACAUCAACAGACAAGUGAACAUCCUAGACGACAGGGGCCGGAGAAAAAAACAUAAAGAUAAGAGGGGUUCCGGAAACCACCCCCCUGGAAGAACUGCCGCACUUCGUGAGACGGCUGGUGGCAUCCCUUCUACUGGCGAAACAAGCUAAGUACUUCACAUUUGACGGGGUAUAUAGAAUAGCCAAAUCCCCUAGAGCCCACAGCACCAUGAGACCAUCCUUAGAUGCCAAACAGUAGCCGAUAAGCUAGGUCUAACAGCAGUAUUAAGGGGGAAAUCCCCACAUAACUUUGAAGACUGUCAUAUAUCCUUUUUUCAGGACUUAAGCAGGGCCACCUUGCUAUGGCGCAACCUCUCACAAGGACACUGCAAGCGGAGAAUCUGACUUACCGAUGGGCAACCCCAAACACCCUGUGGGUCACAAAGGAAGGAAAGUCAUAUAAUAAAGCCACAGCACAGUCGGAUGCACCUGCACUGCUGGCAGCGCUGGGCCUACACACAAGAAGCACCCCAGUACAAGGACUGUCCCGCUCUCCAGCCCGGUCUUUCACCGACACACCCUCACUUGAACCCAGAAGAAAAAUGGGACUCAAACACUAAUAUCCAUGUAGCUCCAAUAGCACCGUACAUUACUUUUCUUUUUACAAAUGUUCUUGAGUUUUAAAUGCUCCUCUUGUUCGCCUUUUACUUGUUAAUGCCUUGCAAAGUAAGUUACCUGCUGGCACACUCCACCCAAACACCUGCACAGAGAGGCAUCAGAGCCUCAACUGCCCUAGAAACUUGUCAGGCAUACAACGCACUCCAUAGGGGGACAGCCACCACUACUCCCCUCCCCCCCAACACCCCAGGGUACAGGGGUAGAAACCACAGGGGCACGGAAGGGAUAGCACCCGAACAUAGACCCUUGGAUCACUCGACAUACCUCUCACGGCAACCGACAAGCUCCACACUAUUAUAGCCCUCGCCACUUGACCUACCAAAAGCUCCUUAGACGAGCGACUGCCACAGACGACACAUAGGACACCAUAAAGGAGCAACACCUACAUGACUAAUCCCAACUGAGUACAGCGCGACCAUCCACCGGCAUACAUGAUCUCGAGCUCCCAAACUAAGCUCUAACACGACCCAUUGUGUCCCCACAAUUGUUCCCACAACCUGUAUCCACAGGCCACAGACCAUACUGCCUCACCGCACACGAGACAGAACAUGUGGGACAUACCUCACGGAAACCACGGACAAACAGGGCCAGACCGCUAUACAUAAAGUGGAGGUCUCAAUCACAUAAACAGUUCACCCCACACAGAACAAUUUACCAAAAAAAAAGUGCAAACUUAUCGACUGCCAUCCCUGAUGUCUAAAUGUUAAUUGUAAAAUUGCCGAAUCCCGAUUACGUGGAAGUGGCAUGUAAAAAAGUUUUGUACCAUGCAACAUGCACCAAAAAAAAAAGAAUUAAAUAAAAAAGAGAAGUAAGAGAUUU